RNAcentral lists this ribosomal RNA (484 nucleotides) under uncultured bacterium. RNAcentral's name for it is "partial 16S ribosomal RNA". It matches the Rfam family "Bacterial small subunit ribosomal RNA", at positions 30 to 507 of the family's 1533-position model. The record is from RNAcentral.
AUUGAACGCUGGCGGCAGGCCUAACACAUGCAAGUCGAGCGGAUGAAGGGAGCUUGCUCCUGGAUUCAGCGGCGGACGGGUGAGUAAUGCCUAGGAAUCUGCCUGGUAGUGGGGGAUAACGUCCGGAAACGGGCGCUAAUACCGCAUACGUCCUGAGGGAGGAAGUGGGGGAUCUUCGGACCUCACGCUAUCAGAUGAGCCUAGGUCGGAUUAGCUAGUUGGUGGGGUAAAGGCCUACCAAGGCGACGAUCCGUAACUGGUCUGAGAGGAUGAUCAGUCACACUGGAACUGAGACACGGUCCAGACUCCUACGGGAGGCAGCAGUGGGGAAUCUUGGACAAUGGGCGAAAGCCUGAUCCAGCCAUGCCGCGUGUGUGAAGAAGGUCUUCGGAUUGUAAAGCACUUUAAGUUGGGAGGAAGGGCAGUAAGUUAAUACCUUGCUGUUUUGACGUUACCAACAGAAUAAGCACCGGCUAACUUCGUG